This is a long non-coding RNA of Bombyx mori (domestic silkworm), 834 nucleotides long. RefSeq lists it as uncharacterized. The transcript is spliced from 3 exons. Lineage: Eukaryota; Metazoa; Arthropoda; Insecta; Lepidoptera; Bombycidae. The record is from RefSeq and is a predicted model, not a curated record.
UCCGUUUGCCAAUAAGCAGUGAUCAGUUUCUUUUGGUUUCUUUUGUUUGUUUUUCUAUUGUUUACCUACUAUGUUAGAUGAUGACUUACCUCCAAAACGCUUUAAAACUUUCGUUUAUAAUAAAAUUCUAAGUGUGUUUAUAAUUAAAGAGCUACAGUGAAAUAAAAUGAAUUCUUCAAGAAAGGCAGCACCCAUGACAAAAGAUGAGACGAUGAUUCUAGCAGAACUUGUGGCGGCGAAAAAACAUUUCAAUAAUAAGGCAACAAAUGCCACAAACAAUAAAUUGAAGGAGCAGGCUUGGCAAACCCUUGUAAAUGAUUUUAAUUCGUCGAUUCGUCGUUUCCCACGAACUCCAUCGCAGCUUCGACUAAAAUGGGAAAACUUAAAGAACGCUACGGCAACAUAAGAAACAACCUUAGUAAGGCUGGAGGUGGUAAGGAUUGCAGAUGAAAUUUUGGAUAAAGCAUGCACAUUGUUGUAGGUCACAUAUAAUAUUUUUAACACUUUUACAGCCAAGCGGAAACAAGAUGGAAGAAAAGAAAUGCAAGGCUAGCAUAGGGACAAUGCAUUAGCAGAAUAUCUAAUAGCAAAAAAGAGACUUGACUUGGAAAAUAAAGAAAAGGAGAUUGUUGUAGCAAAAGUUAAGUUAGAUUUAGAUAAUUUAAAAAAUUAAAAAUUACUUAAAAGGAAUAUUAAAUUUCAUAAAUUAAGUAGGCAAUAAUAAUUUUAUGUUAGAUAGUUUUUUAAGUAUAUGUACAAAUUCUAAAUUAAAUAUCUUGCAUGUACUAACUACCAUGUAAUUAUCAUUUUGGAAAAUAAAAAAUAGUCAAAUUA